CACUCUUCUUCAGUCUUCUCCUCACAAGCAGGGCAAGUGCCAAGGCUUUCUUUUGGUUCAAAGACAGAAACAUCUUCGCCACCAAAUCG
Long non-coding RNA from Etheostoma spectabile (orangethroat darter), 89 nucleotides. RefSeq lists it as uncharacterized. The record is from RefSeq and is a predicted model, not a curated record. Lineage: Eukaryota; Metazoa; Chordata; Actinopteri; Perciformes; Percidae. The transcript has 3 exons.